This 465-nucleotide ribosomal RNA is filed under the name uncultured bacterium. Its description in RNAcentral is "partial 16S ribosomal RNA". It matches the Rfam family "Bacterial small subunit ribosomal RNA", at positions 338 to 795 of the family's 1533-position model. The record is from RNAcentral.
CCUACGGGUGGCAGCAGUGGGGAAUAUUGCGCAAUGGGCGAAAGCCUGACGCAGCGACGCCGCGUGCGGGAUGAAGGUCUUCGGAUCGUAAACCUCUGUCAGCAGGGAAGAACGGUCACUGUGCUAAUCAGCAGUGAAUUGACGGUACCUGCAAAGGAAGCACCGGCUAACUCCGGGCCAGCAGCCGCGGUAAUACGGAGGGGGCGAGCGUUAAUCGGAAUUACUGGGCGUAAAGCGCUCGUAGGCGGUAGGUCAAGUCAAGGGUGAAAUCCCCGCGCUCAACGUGGGAACUGCCUUUGAAACGGGCAAACUGGAGUGUGUGAGAGGAUAGUGGAAUUCCAGGUGUAGGAGUGAAAUGCGUAGAUAUCUGGAGGAACACCAGGGGCGAAGGCGACUAUCUGGCACAUAACUGACGCUGAGGAGCGAAAGCGUGGGUAGCAAACAGGAUUAGAUACCCGGGUAGUC